UACGGGGGGGGCAAGCGUUGUUCGGAUUCACUGGGCGUAAAGGGUGCGUAGGCGGUUGGGUAAGUCUGAUGUGAAAUCUCACAGCUUAACUGUGAAACUGCAUUGGAUACUAUCCGGCUAGAGGAAUGGAGGGGAGACUGGAAUACUUGGUGUAGCAGUGAAAUGCGUAGAUAUCAAGUGGAACACCAGUGGCGAAGGCGAGUCUCUGGACAUUUCCUGACGCUGAGGCACGAAAGCCAGGGGAGCAAACGGG
RNAcentral lists this ribosomal RNA (253 nucleotides) under uncultured bacterium. Its description in RNAcentral is "partial 16S ribosomal RNA". It matches the Rfam family "Bacterial small subunit ribosomal RNA", at positions 524 to 776 of the family's 1533-position model. The record is from RNAcentral.